RNAcentral lists this ribosomal RNA (484 nucleotides) under uncultured bacterium. Its description in RNAcentral is "partial 16S ribosomal RNA". It matches the Rfam family "Bacterial small subunit ribosomal RNA", at positions 30 to 507 of the family's 1533-position model. The record is from RNAcentral.
AUUGAACGCUGGCGGCAGGCCUAACACAUGCAAGUCGAGCGGAUGAAGGGAGCUUGCUCCUGGAUUCAGCGGCGGACGGGUGAGGAAUGCCUAGGAAUCUGCCUGGUAGUGGGGGAUAACGUCCGGAAACGGGCGCUAAUACCGCAUACGUCCUGAGGGAGAAAGUGGGGGAUCUUCGGACCUCACGCUAUCAGAUGAGCCUAGGUCGGAUUAGCUAGUUGGUGGGGUAAAGGCCUACCAAGGCGACGAUCCGUAACCGGUCUGAGAGGAUGAUCAGUCAACCUGGAACUGAGACACGGUCCCGACUCCUACGGGAGGGAGCAGUAGGGAAUUUUUCGCAAUGGGCGAAAGCCUGACGCAGCCACGCCGCGUGGGUGAAGAAGGUCUUCGGAUUGUAAAACUCUUUUAUUAGGGAAGAACGUAUAUGAAAGUAACUCUUUCCUUUUUGACGUUACCUAAUAAAAAAGCCACGGCUAACUUCGUG